Ananas comosus (pineapple) is the source of this 1002-nucleotide long non-coding RNA. RefSeq lists it as uncharacterized. NCBI's taxonomy places the organism in Eukaryota, Viridiplantae, Streptophyta, Magnoliopsida, Poales, Bromeliaceae. The record is from RefSeq and is a predicted model, not a curated record. The transcript is spliced from 2 exons.
CACUCUGUUAUUUAUGGCUGAUUAAUUCUGCGCUCACUUUUUCUUUGUUUUAUAGAUUGAUGAAACGUGCAGCGUGAGAUAAUUAACCAUAGAUCUUUAAGGCAUUCGAAUAUAUUAGGUUCAAAGAGUCUAUUUGCUUGUGAAACUACAACGGUUCCACCUAUUUGCUUUUUUGGUCAGAGUUCUCACCACCAUGUUAUGGCAAUUGGGUGAGGAUAGCUCCAAAUGCUUCCGAAUUUUUCAGUUUUUUCCGGAUCUAUCAAACAAUGAAAGCACGUGUGUUUGGACAUAGUAAUUUUAACUAAGCCUUGAUUUCGAGCUCAAGCACAACCUGCCAAACUGACUGAACACUGUGUGAAACAGACGCUGUGGCUUCUGAUCAAAUACUCCAUAUAAUUAGUUGUAUCAUAGUAUAUGCCAAGUAAGAACCGUUGUGAGAGAAGUUUUGUGUACUUCUUAAGCAUUAGCUACAGGUAGUUUAAACAUUUUAGUAUGUAAUGAUGUUCAAUGUUGAGAUCUUGUUGAUCUGAAACUUGUUGCCUUAGCAAAGUUGUUAUCUACGUACUUGGCCUCUUUAUUCUUAUAUUGUUUUCGUUAUCAAUUCAGGGAUCAAGAAAUGUUGAAAAACUAAUUUUUUUAAAUUUUUAUUUGCAGAUUUAUAAGAGAUGGUGACGAGAAAUAUUUUGGCAGGUCAUUGGCGAUGUAUUGAAUCAAGUUUAAGAAUUUAGACAUAUUUUGAAAACUUUACAUUUGAUAGCAUGUGGAAAUGGCAAAAACUCUAUUAUUGUGUUUUGUUUUUUGGUUGUGUUGGGUGAUUGUAUUAGAUGACAAUGCAAUGAUACUCUAACAUGGUUCUUGUUUUCUGGUUGUGUUGGGUGUUGUCCCAAAUUUGUAGAUGAUUAGUUCUUUUCAACUUCUUUCUGUAAAUUUUCUUGCGUGAGCAUAUAAUCUCUGUUGUGAGAGACAUAAUUUGAUACAAAAUGUAGGAUUUCUGUUUGUUGA